RNAcentral lists this ribosomal RNA (467 nucleotides) under uncultured bacterium. RNAcentral's name for it is "partial 16S ribosomal RNA". It matches the Rfam family "Bacterial small subunit ribosomal RNA", at positions 28 to 506 of the family's 1533-position model. The record is from RNAcentral.
GACGAACGCUGGCGGCGUGCUUAACACAUGCAAGUCGAACGGAAAGGCCCUGCUUUUGUGGGGUGCUCGAGUGGCGAACGGGUGAGUAACACGUGAGUAACCUGCCCUUGACUUUGGGAUAACUUCAGGAAACUGGGGCUAAUACCGGAUAGGAGCUCCUGCUGCAUGGUGGGGGUUGGAAAGUUUCGGCGGUUGGGGAUGGACUCGCGGCUUAUCAGCUUGUUGGUGGGGUAGUGGCUUACCAAGGCUUUGACGGGUAGCCGGCCUGAGAGGGUGACCGGCCACAUGGGGACUGAGAGACGGCCCAGACCCCUACGGGGGGCAGGGGGGGGGAAUAUUGCACAAGGGGCGGAGGCCUGAUGCAGCAACGCCGCGUGCGGGAGGACGGCCUUCGGGUUGUAAACCGCUUUCGCCUGUGACGAAGCGUGAGUGACGGGAAUGGGUAAAGAAGCACCGGCUAACUACGU